UAUGAUAAUCAGGGUCAUAAUACAUUCUAAUCCAGCUCAAUAUUGUUUUUUUUUGUUUGUUUUUUUUCAGCCCAUUUCUCCAAUGUGGAGUUUCUUCAUCGUGUUGGGAAUCUUCCUGAUACCGUCUGUCGGAGAAGAGAGCGCCUCGGCCUCCCACUGGCUGGUCUACACCUCCACAGCAGUGUCGGAGGCGGGGCUCCUCUCCCAGCUCCUGAUCUCCAGGGUUCUGGACCAGCAGACGGUCUCUCACUGGGACAGCGCCUCCUGGAGAGAGACUCACACCAGCCACUGGCCCAGCAGAGCUGCCGGCCUCAGAGAUGUCAACUACGAGCAUGAGGAGAUGGAGAACAGGGAGAGGCUGCAGGGAAUCCUGAGGACGAGGAGCAACAUGGGGAAAGGUCAGUCAGCCCUUCGCUCUGUCCUCUGUCCUCUGUUUCUGUGUGUCAGUGUCAUCAGUCUCUGUGUGUGUGUGUCACUGUCCUCUGUCUCUGUGUCUGUCAGUGUCCUCGGUCUCUCUCUCUUCAGAUGUGCUGUGAUCUGGGGGAUGAUGGGAGUUUGUCUGUACUGUUAGUCUCCUCAGUCUCUCUCUUCAGAUGUGCUCCAGAGCUGGUGAGGCUGUAGACUGGGGGAUGAUGGGAGUGUGGCUCUGUUUGAUCACUACGGCUUCAAUGGACAAGACUUCCUGUCCUUUGAGGUGGACACUAUGACCUGGAGAGCAAGUUCCCUACAGGCAGAGGACACUCAGAGGGACUGGAACCAGAACAGGGUUAAAAACCAGUAUAUCAGAGCCUUCCUAGAGAUUGACUGUAUGGAAACACUGAAGAGAUUCCUGGAGUUCAGAAAAAUAGACAAAAACCACACAGGUGAGACAGAGAAAACUCCCAGUGCAGUAUUAAUGUACUGGAGUGUCCAGUCAGUGUGUCUGUAUUAACCCCUCUCUUUCUCAGUGCAGUGUUAAUGUACGGGAGUGUCCAGUCAGUGCGUCUGUAUUAACCCCUCUCUCUCAUUGCAGUUUUAAUGUACUGGAGUGUCCGUCCAGUCAGUGUCUCUGUAUGAACCCCUCUCUCUCUCAGUGCAGUGUUAAUGUACUGGAGUGUCCAGUCAGUGUGUCUGUAU
RNAcentral lists this long non-coding RNA (1116 nucleotides) under Lepisosteus oculatus (spotted gar). RNAcentral describes it as "lncRNA (ENSLOCG00000021777.1)". The record is from RNAcentral. Lineage: Eukaryota; Metazoa; Chordata; Actinopteri; Semionotiformes; Lepisosteidae.